GAGCUGUCAUACUCUGCCAGUGUUUUGGUUCCUAUGGCCCAGAACAGCAUCCCGGGUGGCAGAACAAGGAAAAAACAUAAUAGUCACAGAGGAAGAGAAGAAGCAUUGGGCCCUUUUAUGGUUGUAAACUUCCUCCAGAAGGGCUGUGGAGGCUCCUGGCUUUGUGAUGCCCUGGCAGGACACGGUGGUUGCUGUAGCACAGAGAGCUCUGGAGGAGAAAGCCUGAAAUGCCCCCUGACCCCAAGAGUGAAAGACAAAUCUUCCAACCAACAAACAAGGAUACAGUCUUACAGUUGCCUUCAAGAGGAAACCUGAUAUCUACCCUGGCAAAGGAGACAGAAUCCUGCAGAUCUGGCUUCACAGCUCACUGCUAUUAUGGCACAGCAAGCUUCUCUUUCCUGGUGUCUGAAACCUGGUUGUAAAGAUGGCUAUGCUGGAAGAAGGCAGGUAUUGAUUAAUGUCUA
Long non-coding RNA from Calypte anna (Anna's hummingbird), 464 nucleotides. RefSeq lists it as uncharacterized. The transcript has 4 exons. NCBI's taxonomy places the organism in Eukaryota, Metazoa, Chordata, Aves, Apodiformes, Trochilidae. The record is from RefSeq and is a predicted model, not a curated record.